This 74-nucleotide transfer RNA is filed under the name Candidatus Gordonibacter avicola. Its description in RNAcentral is "tRNA-Trp". It matches the Rfam family "tRNA". Rfam says of the family: Transfer RNA (tRNA) molecules are approximately 80 nucleotides in length. Lineage: Bacteria; Bacillati; Actinomycetota; Coriobacteriia; Eggerthellales; Eggerthellaceae. The record is from RNAcentral. RNAcentral also lists the same sequence under 2 other names.
ACGCCGUUAGUCUAGCGGAAGGGCGGCAGUCUCCAAAACUGCAAGCGGGGGUUCGAUUCCCUCACGGCGUGCCA